RNAcentral lists this ribosomal RNA (644 nucleotides) under uncultured Actinomycetes bacterium. RNAcentral describes it as "bacterial SSU rRNA". It matches the Rfam family "Bacterial small subunit ribosomal RNA", at positions 232 to 886 of the family's 1533-position model. Lineage: Bacteria; Bacillati; Actinomycetota; Actinomycetes. The record is from RNAcentral.
CGCGGCCUAUCAGCUUGUUGGUGGGGUAAUGGCCUACCAAGGCGACGACGGGUAGCCGGCCUGAGAGGGCGACCGGCCACACUGGGACUGAGACACGGCCCAGACUCCUACGGGAGGCAGCAGUGGGGAAUAUUGCGCAAUGGGCGAAAGCCUGACGCAGCGACGCCGCGUGAGGGACGAAGGUCUUCGGAUUGUAAACCUCUUUCAGCAGGGACGAAGCGAAAGUGACUGUACCUGCAGAAGAAGCACCGGCUAACUACGUGCCAGCAGCCGCGGUAAUACGUAGGGGGCGAGCGUUGUCCGGAAUCAUUGGGCGUAAAGAGCUCGUAGGCGGUUCAGUAAGUCGGGUGUGAAAGCUCCGAGCUCAACUCGGAGAGGCCACUCGAUACUGCUGUGACUAGAAUCCAGUAGGGGAGUGUGGAACUCCUGGUGUAGCGGUGAAAUGCGCAGAUAUCAGGAAGAACACCAGCGGCGAAGGCGGCACUCUGGGCUGGUAUUGACGCUGAGGAGCGAAAGUGUGGGUAGCAAACAGGAUUAGAUACCCUGGUAGUCCACACCGUAAACGUUGGGCACUAGGUGUGGGGAGGAUCAACCCUUUCCGUGCCGUAGCUAACGCAUUAAGUGCCCCGCCUGGGGAGUACGGA